UAGGGAAUCUUCCACAAUGGACGCAAGUCUGAUGGAGCAACGCCGCGUGAGUGAAGAAGGUCUUCGGAUCGUAAAACUAUGUUGUUAGAGAAGAACACGAGUGAGAGUAACUGUUCAUUCGAUGACGGUAUCUAACCAGCAAGUCACGGCUAACUACGUGCCCG
RNAcentral lists this ribosomal RNA (164 nucleotides) under uncultured bacterium. RNAcentral's name for it is "partial 16S rRNA". It matches the Rfam family "Bacterial small subunit ribosomal RNA", at positions 355 to 511 of the family's 1533-position model. The record is from RNAcentral.